Molecule: ribosomal RNA, 497 nt
Filed under: uncultured bacterium
Lineage: Bacteria
Description: partial 16S ribosomal RNA
Rfam family: Bacterial small subunit ribosomal RNA
Source: RNAcentral
UCUUCCCUCUGGCGGCGUGCCUAAUACAUGCAAGUCGAGCGAACAGACGAGGAGCUUACUCCUCUGACGUUAGCGGCGGACGGGUGAGUAACACGUGGAUAACCUACCUAUAAGACUGGGAUAACUUCGGGAAACCGGAGCUAAUACCGGAUAACAUGUUGAACCGCAUGGUUCAACAGUGAAAGACGGUCUUGCUGUCACUUAUAGAUGGAUCCGCGUCGCAUUAGCUAGUUGGUAAGGUAACGGCUUACCAAGGCAACGAUGCGUAGCCGACCUGAGAGGGUGAUCGGCCACACUGGAACUGAGACACGGUCCAGACUCCUACGGGAGGCAGCAGUAGGGAAUCUUCCGCAAUGGGCGAAAGCCUGACGGAGCAACGCCGCGUGAGUGAAGAAGGUCUUCGGAUCGUAAAACUCUGUUAUUAGGGAAGAACAAAUGUGUAAGUAACUAUGCACGUCUUGACGGUACCUAAUCAGAAAGCCACGGCUAACUACGUG